Molecule: transfer RNA, 72 nt
Filed under: Cordylochernes scorpioides
Lineage: Eukaryota; Metazoa; Arthropoda; Arachnida; Pseudoscorpiones; Chernetidae
Description: tRNA-Trp
Rfam family: tRNA
About the family: Transfer RNA (tRNA) molecules are approximately 80 nucleotides in length.
Source: RNAcentral
GGGGAUGUAGCUCAGUGAUAGAGCGCUCGCUUCCAAUGUGAGAGGCCCCGGAUUUAAUCCCCGGCAUCUCCA